AUUGAACGCUGGCGGCAGGCCUAACACAUGCAAGUCGAAAGAGUGGCGGACGGGUGAGUAAUGUCUGGGAAACUGCCCGAUGGAGGGGGAUAACUACGGGAAACAGUAGCUAAUACCGCCUACCAUCGGAUGUGCCCAAAUGGGAUUAGCUAGUGGGUGGGGUAACGGCUUACCAAGGCGACGAUCCCUAGCUGGUCUGAGAGGAUGACCAGCCACACGGGAACUGAGACACGGUCCAGACUCCUACGGGAGGCAGCAGUGGGGAAUAUUGCACAAUGGGCGCAAGCCUGAUGCAGCCAUGCCGCGUGUAUGAAGAAGGCCUUCGGGUUGUAAAGUACUUUCAGUGAGGAGGCGUUACUCACAGAAGAAGCACCGGCUAACUCCGUGCCAGCAGCCGCGGUAAUUC
RNAcentral lists this ribosomal RNA (406 nucleotides) under uncultured bacterium. Its description in RNAcentral is "partial 16S ribosomal RNA". It matches the Rfam family "Bacterial small subunit ribosomal RNA", at positions 30 to 526 of the family's 1533-position model. The record is from RNAcentral.